UAAACACAACCCAGACUGCACCCCGCACUGGCAAUUAACGUUUUCCCCCUCAAAGUAACAACCUUUUGUAAAAAAACAUUACNNCUCCRACCGUUAACCUAACACAAGAACAUUUCAAGAAAGAUUAAAAGAAAAAAAGGAACUCGGCAAACACCAAUUCCGCCUGUUUACCAAAAACAUCGCCUCUUGCAAAAAAAUAAGAGGUCCAGCCUGCCCAGUGAAUCUUUAACGGCCGCGGUAUCCUAACCGUGCAAAGGUAGCACAAUCACUUGUUUUUUAAAUAAAGACUAGUAUGAACGGCACCACGAGAAUUUAACUGUCUCUUUUUUCUAAUCAGUGAAACUAAUCCCCCCGUGAAGAAGCGGGGAUUACACUAUAAGACGAGAAGACCCUGUGGAGCUUUAAACUUUUUAGCAAGCCUACCCCUCCCCCACCAGCCGCCUCUGACUAAAAGUUUUUGGUUGGGGCGACCUUGGAGAAAAAUCCACCCUCCAAAAUGAAGUAGUAAAACUUAAACAAAAACUCACACCUUAAUGUAUCAAUAAAUUGACAUCCAUUGACCCAGCAACCUGAUCAACGAACUAAGUUACCCCAGGGAUAACAGCGCAAUCUUCUUCGAGAGCCCAUAUCGACAAGCAGGUUUACGACCUCGAUGUUGGAUCAGGGUGCCCAAGUGGUGCAGCCGCCACUAAAGGUUCGUUUGUUCAACGAUYAA
RNAcentral lists this ribosomal RNA (715 nucleotides) under Phyllonastes naturetrekii (Naturetrek leaf frog). Its description in RNAcentral is "Noblella sp. n. JAO-2019 partial large subunit ribosomal RNA". It matches the Rfam family "Bacterial large subunit ribosomal RNA", at positions 1538 to 2591 of the family's 2925-position model. The record is from RNAcentral. Lineage: Eukaryota; Metazoa; Chordata; Amphibia; Anura; Craugastoridae.